CUUACUUCAAAUGUGUCUGGAUGUGUGGACUACCGUAAGGGACCUCAUGAAUAGCGACAGCAACACCAAUGAAGAUGCUGGUAAACAACUGAUGAGACAAUGGACAGAACUUGUUUGUUUCUGAUUUGUGAGAUAUUUUUUUCAGCCUCUGAAGCCCCGAAUGCAACUGCAUAAGCCCAUGGAUCAGUAUCAGUAUCACCCUUCAUUCACUCCGGACACAGCACAGCAGGACUCCUCCUACACACACAAACUAUACACAUUUUGAGUAAGUUUUCCAGUUAUCUUUUAAUGGAACCAGACGCCUAUCCCCUAUCAUUCCUCGUUUCUUGGCAGCCUAAACCCAAAACACAACCAAUGUUGCAAGAACUGAAGAACUCUUCAGGUUCCAAUGCAAGUCAUUUGAGAGUACAAAGAACAGAACACAUAACUGAUGGAAUUAAACCUAAAGAACAGGACGAUCAGGACAUAUCAACCAAGGGACAACAAUUGUCAGCUCACUUCUCAGUAUGAUUGCCUAAAGC
This 521-nucleotide long non-coding RNA is filed under the name Drosophila guanche. Lineage: Eukaryota; Metazoa; Arthropoda; Insecta; Diptera; Drosophilidae. The record is from RNAcentral.